Oncorhynchus tshawytscha (Chinook salmon) is the source of this 9884-nucleotide long non-coding RNA. Lineage: Eukaryota; Metazoa; Chordata; Actinopteri; Salmoniformes; Salmonidae. The record is from Ensembl.
UGGUUCAGUAAGGCUUCAGUAAUGUUUCUGUCAUGCUUCAGUAAUGUUUCUGUCAUGCUUCUGUAAUGCUUCAGUAAAGCUUCAGUAAUGUUUCAGUAAGGUUUCAGUAAUGUUUCAGUAAAGCUUCAGUAAUGUUUCAGUAAAGCUUCAGUAAAGCUUCAGUAAUGUUUCAGUAAAGCUUCAGUAAUGUUUCAGUAAAGCUUCAGUAAUGUUUCAGUAAAGCUUCAGUAAUGUUUCAGUAAUGCUUCAGUAAAGCUUCAGUAAUGUUUCAGUAAAGCUUCAGUAAUGUUUCAGUAAAGCUUCAGUAAUGUUUCAGUAAGGCUUCAGUAAUGUUUCAGUAAAGCUUCAGUAAUGCUUCAGUAAUGCUUCAGUAAUGUUUCUGUCAUGCUUCAGUAAUGCUUCAGUAAUGUUUCAGUAAUGUUUCUGUCAUGCUUCAGUAAUGCUUCAGUAAUGUUUCUGUCAUGCUUCAGUAAAGCUUCAGUAAUGCUUCAGUAAUGCUUCAGUAAUGUUUCAGUAAUGCUUCAGUAAUGCUUCAGUAAUAUUUCAGUAAUGCUUCAGUAAAGGUCACACUGUUCUAUAGCUUCAGGUCUGCUGCAUUUGUAAUGAAGGUGGCUUGGUUAAUGGAGGAUAAAGUGCCCCAGUCCUUCGUUUCAACGACCCUAUGAUGACUCACACCUUCCUCCCUGAAGGUCAUCGAGAAGACGGGCUUCCCCAAGAAGCUCACCAGGAAACCAGAGGACUUCAUACUGUGCAGGUAGGUACAACGAGAGCGCGACCGGUUAACCCGACAAAAUGGAAUCACAGAUAUCACAGAUACAUGGCAUUGGUGAAAUAUGAAUUAUUAUUGUAUGCAUAGCCGGUCUAUUCAAAUACGAUCUCUUUCCCUGGGUGGUUGAACAUCUUCAACUGGGUGGGUACUGAAAGAAAAGACCUUUACAUCUGCUCUGAGACUGGUCCAAAUGGUACUCUAUUCCAAAUGAAUAAAGACAUUACAAAUGUCAUAUUAUGUCUAUAUACAGUGUUGUAAUGAUGUGCAAAUAGUUAACAGUACAAAAGGUGGGGACAUAAAUAUGGGUUGUAUUUACUAUGGUGUUUGUUCUUCACUGGUUGACCUUUUCUCGUGGCAACAGGUCACACGUCUUGCUGCUGUGAUGGCACACUGUGGUAUUUCACCCAGUAGAUAUGGGAGUUUUUCAUUGUUUAAAAAAAUAUUUUGUGGAUCUGUGUAAUCUGAGGGAAAUAUGUGUCUCUAAUAUGGUCAUCUAUUUGGUUGGAGGUUAGGAAGUGCGGCUGAGGGUAAUAUAUGUGUCUCUAAUAUGGUCAUACACUGUCUGGCAGAACGUUAAACUGCUGUUGUCAAUCAUUAUUUCUCCCUUUGUGACCUUAACACUGAGAUUUCCACAUUAUUCUGCUCAUGGUCCCAAAUUGAUGUCAGGAAAUUCUGGUGAAUCAAUUUGGAAAGUAAUGUAGUCUAGUGGUUUUUCAUAUUGAAUAACAGGUGAUGUUAACUGUGGUAUAUUAUGACAAUCAGUCUGUGUUGAUAGACUGUGAACUGUGGUAUAUUAUGACAAUCAGUCAGACUUCUUUUCUUUCAACAUGUCACUGAGUUGAGAAUGGUGAUAUCACACCGUCUCUUUCAGACAUUGUCCGGUUAGAUGCCCCAGAUAUUGUGUGGCCUACCACUUCGCAGCUGAGCCUCGUUUAAGAAACAGACGCCUCACAAGUCCUCAACUGGCAGCUUCAUUAAAUAGUACCUUCAAAACACCAGUCUCAACGUCAACAGUGAAGAGGCGACUCCGAGAUGCUGGCCUUCUAGGCAGAGUUCCUCUGUCCAGUGUCUGUGUUCUUUUGCCCAUCUUAAUCUUUUCUUUUCAUUGGCCAGUCUGAGAUAUGGCUUUUUCUUUGCAACUCUGCCUAGAAAGGCCAACAUCCCAGAGUCUCCUCUUCAACGUUGACAUUGAGACUUGUGUUUUGCGGGUCCCUUUUUCAGGACCCUGUCUUUCAAAGAUAAUUUGUAAAAAACUUUACAGAUCUUCAUUGUAAAGGGUUUAAACACGGUUUCCCAUGCUUGUUCAAUGAAUCAUAAACAAUUGAUGAACAUGCACCUGUGGAACGGUCGUUAAGACACUAACAGCUUUCAGAUGGUAGGCAAUUAAGGUCAGUUAUAAAAACUUAGGACGCUAAAGAGGCCUUUCUACUGACUCUGAAAAACACCAAAAGAAAGAUGCCCAGGAUCCCUGCUCAUCUGCUUGAAUAUGCCUUAGGCAUGCUGCAAGGAGGCAUGAGGACUGCAGAUGUGGCCAGGGCAAUAAAUUGCAAUGUCCGUUCUGUGAGACGCCUAAGACAUCGCUACAGGGAGACAGGACGGCAGCUGAUCAUCCUCGCAGUGGCAGACCACGUGUAACAACACCUGCACAGGAUCGGUACAUCCGAACAUCACACCUGCGGGACACUGAGUUAUACCAGGAACACACAAUCCCUCCAUCAGUGCUCAGACUGUCCGCAAUAGGCUGAGAGAGGCUGGACUGAGGGCUUGUAGGCCUGUUGUAAGGCAUCACCGGCUACAACGUCGCCUAUGGGCACAAACCCACCAUCGCUGGACCAGACAGGAAAGUGCUCUUCACUGACGAGUCAUGGUUUUGUCUCACCAGGCGUGAUGGUCGGAUUCGCGUUUAUUGUCAAAGGACUGAUCGUUACACCAAGGUCUGUACUCUGGAGCGAGAUCGAUUUGGAGGUGGAGGGUCUGUCAUGGUCUGGGGGGGUGUAUCACAGCAUCAUCGUACUGAGCUUGUUGUCAUUGCAGGCAAUCUCAACGCUGUGCGUUACAGGGAAGACAUCCUCCUCCCUCAUGUGGUUCCCUUUUAUUUAUUUUACAUUUUAUUUCACCUUUAUUUAACCAGGUAGGCCAGUUGAGAACAAGUUUUCAUUUAUAACUGCGACCUGGCCAAGAUAAAGCAAAGCAGUGCGACAAAAACAACAACACAGAGUUACACAUAAACAAACGUACAGUCAAUAACACAACCCUUCCUGCAGGCUCAUCCUGACGUGACCCUCCAGCAUGACAAUGCCACCAGCCAUACUGCUUGUUCUGUGCGUGACUUCCUGCAAGGCAGGAAUGUCAGUGUUCUGCCAUGGCCAGCAAAGAGUCCGGAUCUCAUUCCCAUUGAGCGCGUCAGGGACCUGUUGGAUCGGAGGGUGAGGGCUAGGGCCAUUCCCCAGAGAAAUGUCUGGGAACUUGCAGGUGCCUUGGUGGAAGAGUGGGGUAACAUCACAUAGCAAGAACUGGCAAAUCUGGUGCAGUCCAUGAGGAGGAGAUGCACUGUAGUACUUAAUGCAGCUGGUGGCCACACCAGAUACUGACUGUUACUUUUGUUUUUGACCCCCCCUUUGUUCAGGGACACAUUAUUCCAUUUCUGUUGGUCACAUGUCUGUGGAACGUGUUCAGUUUAUGUCUCAGUUGUUGAAUCUUAUGUUCAUAGAAAUAUUUACACAUGUUAAGUUUGCUGAAAAUAAACGCAGUUGACAGUGAGAGGAGCUUUCCUUUUUUCUGAGUUUAUUUAAUGAAGCUGCCAGUUGAGGACUUGUGAAGCGUCUGUUUCUCAGACUAGACACUCUAAUGUACUUGUCCUCUUGCUCAGUUGUGCACCGGGGCCCCCCACUCUCCUUUUUAUUCUGGUUAGAGCCAGUUUGCACUGUUCUGUGAAGGGAGUAGUACACUGCGUUGUAUGAGACCUCCAGUUUCUUGGCAAUUUCUCGCAUGGAAUAGCCUUAAUUUCUCAGAACAAGAAUAGACUGAUGAGUUUCAGAAGAAAGGUCUUUGUUUCUGGCCAUUUUGAGCCUGUAAUCGAACCCACAAAUGCUGAUGCUCCAGAUACUCAACUAGUCUAAAGAAGGAUAGUUGUAUUGCUUCUUUAAUCAGAACAACAGUUUUCAGCUGUGCUAACAUAAUUGUGAAAGGGUUUUCUAAUGAUCAAUUAGCCUUUUAAAACGAUAAACUUGGAUUAGCUAACACAAUGUGCCAUUGGAACACAUCAGUGAUGGUUGCUGAUAAUGGGCCUCUGUAUGCCCAUGUAGAUAUUCCAUAAAGAAUCAGCCGUUUCCAGCUACAAUAGUCAUUUACAACAUUAACAAUGUCUACACUGUAUUUCUGUUCAAUUUGAUGUUAUUUUAAUGGACAAACAAAUGUGCUUUUCUUUAAAAAAAACAAGGACAUUUCUCAGUGACCAAAGCUUUUGAACAAUAGUGUACCUGCACCAUAUGACUUGUAAGUAAGCCCUCCAUUCAGAUACACGCAUCACUACAAUGUGGAACUGCAUUGGCACUAAGGUGAAGAACCAAAUAUUGGAGAAUGUCAAACAAGCAGUACAGAAUAGUUGGCAUAUAAACAAAAACAAUAUAUUGUUUACAAUAAAAGUACUGUUUACUGAACACAUCCAAAUAUUGAAUAAUCUGCAAAACAUUAUUAGAAUUGUUUAUUUUAUUUGCAACCAUAAUUAUUAUCAAAAGAAUAUAGUCUAAAUUCACUCAUUGAAAACUUUAUUUUGUACUACUUAUAAAAAAUACCCAGUUUUACAAAAGUAAAUCUAUGCUUACUAGUUGGAGAGAGUCCAUCUCAUAACAGUCAUCAGCUUUAUUCAGUCUUUUCAGUUGUUUUGUGAUUCUAUAGUUCCAUAGAAUGUUCUAGAUUGUUCAAACAGUGAUUCUGAAUUCCAUUUCAGCUGAUCAGGAGCUGAAUUUUUAAUCCAUUCAAAAAAAGCAUGUGGUCCCUUCUCCAAGAGACAGCAUUAGAAUAUCAUUGACAUAGUGCCUUUAUGUACAAAAACAAUGUACAAAUCUAUAUAAAACAAUCUAACGUUAGCCUCUACAUCUCACUAUAUCUGUUGUAAAUAAAUAUUUGGUUGUCUGACUUCAUAAUGUAGGAAAUAGUUGAAUCCACGGUAAAGGCAUGUUAGGUGUUCUUUGACUCUAUCUAGCUACCAGAGAGACAUGCACCUAUGCUGGUGUUUGGAAAGGCCUCACUAGUUGAGUAACCCAAAUGGUACCCUAUUCCCUAUGUAGUGCACUACUUUGGCCAGGGCCCUAUUCCCUAUAUAGUGCACUACUUUAGACCAGAACCCUAUUCCCUAUGUAGUGCACUACUUUAGGCCAGGGCCCUAUUCCCUAUAUAGUACACUACUAUAGACCAGGGCUCGAGCUCUGCUCAAAAGUAAUGCAGUAUAUAUGAAAUAGGGGGCCAUUUUUAGUGGCUCUCAGUGACUUGUGAUGUAAAUACCAGCACAUGCCUAUAAUAGACAAUACCAACGUCUAGUCAGAUGGAUAGCUACCAAGCCUUCAUUGGUUGUCUGUGAUGAGACAGAGGUACAGUGGGAGGAGCCUCUUACAUAUCCUGCCUUGUGAUGUAAAAACACUAUGCUUGGUCACCAUAGACUAUGGUUGUGUCACAAAUGUCAUCAUAUUCCCUUUAUAGUGCACUACAUUUGGCUAGGGCCCAUAGGGCUGUGGUCCAAAGUAGUGCACUACAUUUGGCUAGGGCCCAUAGGAUUGUGGUCCAAAGUAGUGCACUACAUUUGGCUAGGGUCCAUAGGACUGUGGUCCAAAGUAGUGCACUACAUUAGGGAUAGGGCACCAUCUGGGACACAGCUUGUAUAUAAUGUCUGUCAGGCUAGGAGGUGAAGGUGAUCCCAUGAUGUAGUAAUCCUCCUCUCAGAGCCAUCCUCCCCUCCUCUCAGAUCGAGACAGGUCCUCCUCUCAGAGCCAUCCUCCCCUCCUCUCAGAUCGAGACAGGUCCUCCUCUCAGAUCGAGACAGGUCCUCCUCUCAGAUCGUGGCAGGUCCUCCUCUCAGAUCGAGACAGGUCCUCCUCUCAGAUCGUGACAGGUCCUCCUCUCAGAUCGAGACAGAUCCUCCUCUCAGAUAGUGACAGGUCCUCCUCUCAGAUCGUGACAGGUCCUCCUCUCAGAUCGUGACAGGUCCUCCUCUCAGAUCGUGACAGGUCCUCCUCUCAGAUCGUGGGUGCUGUUACACUUGGCGGAUGCAGAAGUAGCAACACAAAUUCAACUACAACACUUAAAUGCAAGAUAUCCACAGGAAAAAAAAACUAGGCUAUAGCCUUAGAAGCAAAUUGCUCAAAUUGCUUGUUUUUUGUUCGUGAUGUUGACCAUUCCUUUCCAAGCCCUGAAUGUAUGAAAUAUAGCUUACUUUCUUUUUUCAACAUUAAAAGAAAGUCCAUCAAUAUGUAUAUUUUAUGGAUCAACAAUCUCAAAUAAACAGAUGUAUGUUAUGCACCUCUACAUCACAACAUCUGGCUUUGGAAUAAAAUCUCUCUCUAUAGCAGCCAAGGCAAUAUGUAUAUAUGUAUACAUGAUGUUCAUAUACAAUAAGUAACAAGAAAAUAGUUAAGGACAUAGACACUGUAACAUAUAGCCAUGUCGUACAGAGAGGAGAGGAGGAAGAGGAGGAAGAGGAAGGUGAAGGAGGAGAGGAGGAGGAGGAGGAUGAGAGGGGGACGUGAAGGUGGGAGGAGGAGGAGGAGAGGGGGAUGUGAAGGUGGGAGGAGGAGGAAGAGGGGGACGUGAAGGUGGGAGGAGGAGGUUCUUAGGUAAUGGUAUAAAACUAUUCAGAACUGGGGUGGAAGGAGUUAGGAUAUAGCAUGUGUCUGACCUCCUCAGUAAGAGGAAAAGUUUCUGCUCAACCCAGUAGAGGCAGUAGUCUACUGAGGUCCUGUGUUAGUCCCACUGAGGCAGUAGUUUACUGAGGUCCUGUGUUAGUUCCACUGAGGCAGUAGUCUACUGAGGUCCUCUGUUAGUUCCACUGAGGCAGUAGUCUACUGAGGUCCUGUGUUAGUCCCACUGAGGCAGUAGUCUACUGAGGUCCUGUGUUAGUCCCACUGAGGCAGUAGUCUACUGAGGUCCUCUGUUAGUUCCACAGAGGCAGUAGUCUACUGAGGUCCUGUGUUAGUCCCACUGAGGCAGUAGUCUACUGAGGUCCUGUGUUAGUUCCACUGAGGCAGUAGUCUACUGAGGUCCUCUGUUAGUUCCACUGAGGCAGUAGUCUACUGAGGUCCUGUGUUAGUCCCACUGAGGCAGUAGUCUACUGAGGUCCUGUGUUAGUCCCACUGAGUCAGUAGUCUACUGAGGUCCUGUGUUAGUCCCACUGAGGCAGUAGUCUACUGAGUGUUAGUCCCACUGAGGCAGUAGUCUACUGAGGUCCUGUGUUAGUCCCACGGAGGCAGUAGUCUACUGAGGUCCUGUGUUAGUCCCACUGAGGCAGUAGUCUACUGAGGUCCUGUGUUAGUCCCACUGAGGCAGUAGUCUACUGAGGUCCUCUGUUAGUCCCACUGAGGCAGUAGUCUACUGAAGUCCUCUGUUAGUUCCACUGAGGCAGUAGUCUACUGAAGUCCUGUGUUAGUUCCACUGAGGCAGUAGUCUACUGAGGUCCUCUGUUAGUCCCACUGAGGCAGUAGUCUACUGAGGUCCUCUGUUAGUCCAGAUCUGUCAAGAAACCCAUCCGGAGUUCCUAAGUCUUUCAAUAAGUUGUUUUGUCCCUCUUUAAGUUACUAGCUCAAUCUGCAAUAGGUCCUGUUUUAUUGUGUUCAAACAGGCAAGAAACCCUGAUGAUGAGGUUGGUGAUGGUGAUGAUGAUGAUGAAGAUGAGACUAGUGAGUUGUUUAUUCUCCAGGGUGCUUCAGCAUUCUCCAGAGUGCUUCAGUAUUCUCCAGAGUGCUUCAGCAUUCUCCAGGGUGCUUCAGUAUUCUCCAGAGUGCUUCAGUAUUCUCCAGAGUGCUUCAGCAUUCUCCAGGGUGCUUCAGUAUUCUCCAGCGUGCUUCAGCAUUCUCCAGGGUGCUUCAGUAUUCUCCAGAGUGCUUCAGCAUUCUCCAGAGUGCUUCAGCAUUAUCCAUGGUGCUUCAGUAUUCUCCAGCGUGCUUCAGCAUUCUCCAGGGUGCUUCAGUAUUCUCCAGAGUGCUUCAGUAUUCUACAGGGUGCUUCAAUAUUCUCCAGAGUGCUUCAGCGUUCUCCAGGGUGCUUCAAUAUUCUCCAGAGUGCUUCAGCGUUCUCCAGGGUGCUUCAGCAUUCUCCAGAGUGCUUCACUAUUCUCCAUAGUGCUUCACUAUUCUCCAGAGUGCUUCACUAUUCUCCAGAGUGCUUCAGCAUUCUACAGGAUGCUUCACUAUUCUCCAGAGUGCUUCACUAUUCUCCAGAGUGCUUCAGCAUUCUCCAGGGUUCUUCAGUAUCCUACAGGGUUCUUCAGUAUCCUACAGAGUGCUUCAGUAUUCUACAGAGUGCUUCAGCAUUCUCCAGGGCGCUUCAGCAUUCUCCAUAGUGCUUCAGCAUUCUCCAGAGUGCUUCAGCGUUCUCCAGGGUGCUUCAGCAUUCUCCAUAGUACUUCAGCAUUCUCCAGGGUGCUUCAGUAUUCUACAGGGUGCUUCAAUAUUCUCCAGAGUGCUUCAGUAUUCUCCAGGGUGCUUCAGUAUUCUCCAGGGUGCUUCAGCAUUCUCCAGGGUUCUUCAGCAUUCUCCAGAGUGCUUCAGCAUUCUCCAGAGUGCUUCAGUAUUCUACAGGGUGCUUCAGUAUUCUACAAGGUGCUUCAGUAUUCUACAGAGUGCUUCAGGCUUCCAAUAGGAGGUCCAACAGUCCUUUCCUGAAAAGGUUAAUCAACCAACCAUCUCAUCUCCAUGUAGAUAGGUGACAGUAAUCACUAGGUGGCUUUGCUGCAGAAAGGUUAUUCUGUGUGUGUGUGUGCUUGUGUCUGCGUGUGUCUGUGGGUGAAGGCUGAAGAAAUGUUGCUUGGCCUCUACGACCCUCCCGAACUUCUACAGACGCACCACUGAGAGUAUCCUGUGAGGCUGAAUCACCGCCUGUUAUGACAACUGCACCGCCCGCAGCCACUUGAGCCACGUCCUGUUCACCCCGCUACCAUCUAGAAGGUAAUUAAGGACCUCAGCCACCAGAGCCACGUCCUGUUCACCCUGCUACCAUCUAGAAGGUCAUUAAGGACCUCAGCCACCUGAGCCACGACCUGUUCACCCAGCUACCAUCUAGAAGGUCAUCAAGGACAUCAGCCACCUGAGCCACGUCCUGUUCACCCCGCUACCAUCUAGAAGGUCAUCAAGGACCUUAGCCACCUGAGCCACGACCUGUUCACCCAGCUACCAUCUAGAAGGUCAUCAAGGACCUCGGCCACCUGAGCCACGACCUGUUCACCAAGCUACCAUCCAGAAGGUCAUUAAGGACCUCAGCCACCUGAGCCAUGGCCUGUUCACCCCGCUACCAUCUAGAAGGCGGAGACAGUACAGGUGCAUCAAAGCCGGCCUCCACCCAGUACCCUGCCCUGAACCGUAUUGACUGUUACUAGCCAGCUACGACUCAGUAGCCUGCCCUGAACGUUAGUGACUGUUACUAGCCAGCUACCACUUAGUACCCUGCCCUGAACCUUAGUCACUGUUACUAGUCAGCUACCACUCAGUACCCUGCCCCGAACCAUAGUCAUUGUCACUAGCCAGCUCCCACUCAGUACCCUGGCCUGAACCUUAAUGACUGUUACUAGCCGGACUCCACACAGUACCUUGCCCUGAACCUUAGUGACUGUUACUAGCCAGCUACCAAUCGGUACCCUGCCCUGAACCUUAGUGACUGUUACUAGCCGGCCUCCACCCAGUACCCUGCCCUGAACCUUAGUGACUGUUACUAGCCAGCUACCACUUAGUACCCUGCCCUGAACCUUAGUGACUGUUACUAGCAAGCUACCAAGCAGUACCCUGCCCUGAACCUUAGUGACUGUUACUAGCCAGCUACCACUUAGUACCCUGCCCUGAACCCUAGUCACUGUUACUAGCCAGCUACCACUCAGUACCCUGCCCUGAACCUUAGUGACUGUUACUAGCCGGAC